Long non-coding RNA from Lagopus muta (rock ptarmigan), 4016 nucleotides. RefSeq lists it as uncharacterized. The transcript has 4 exons. NCBI's taxonomy places the organism in Eukaryota, Metazoa, Chordata, Aves, Galliformes, Phasianidae. The record is from RefSeq and is a predicted model, not a curated record.
AUUUAAGGGUUGGCAGUGGAGGUGAGGGAAUCUUACCUGGAUAUCUCUGUGCACAUGAGGCCUUCUGAAAGAAUUUUUUCCUUGUCUGGAUCCUGAAGUUUCAAGGCAGACAGACAUUCCAGAGGGGAGGAAAAAACAUUUUGUUGUUUCUCCACUUCUCCUUCCCCCACAGUGCCAGUUGUGCAGGUGAAUAGUGCUGCCUGUUCAGGUGCCUCAGCCCUUCAGGAUCUCAUUGAGAACCAAAGCAGGCUGUGCAAGUGCCACGUACAAAAUUCUGGAAGCGAGCUGGGAGGAGGAAUGGGAUGAAAGCCGUGUACCCUCCUCAGCAUCACACCCCACAAAGCACUGCUGUCUGGCCAUGCACUGCCACUCAUCUGAAGCAUCCUAUGCAACACCCAUGGCGUGCUGUGGUGCGUAGCAGCACAGGCCAUUAAGUCCAUAACAAAGCUCAACCAGCGACAGGGUUGGCAACGCUUCGGAAGUUUGUUUGCGUCAGAGCAGACUGAAAGGAGGCUGAUACUUGAAUGCAUUUCUGUGCUUCACAUGGGAAAAGCAGUGAGAAAUAGGUGGUGUCUGAUUUAAACCACCAUUUUCACCAUCCAAAUCUAUUUUUUAUUCCUGCCGCACAGUUUUAGCAAGAAAAGUGAGUGAAAAAUUGCUGUCAUAAAAGACUCAUCUGCUUCCCAUUACACUGACAUUUAAGGAUUGCACACACUGAAACGUUCCUAUGCGCCAGAGAGAGUGGCAGAGAAAACAGAAGGUUGAAAUUCACAACAAAUGGGGGAUUUUGUAAUUUGGCUGCCCUGGAGGUGGGCGAGGAGCCGGGCACUGAGAGCCAUGCCCCCUCCUGCGCCUCAGCCCUCCCACCUCCCUGCUGCUGUGUGCCAAGGGAUUCCAUUGUGGGCACACAGGAGAAGCCUUUCCCCCGGCCUUUGCCCUCUGCCUCCUCCAGAUGCAAAAAAGGCAAUGUUGGUGUUUUCAGAAGUCAGAGCUGUGCUCCACACAGGCAGAGCCCUGAAGGCGGGGAUCCAUGGCUCUGUUUGGUCUCUUUACUCCAAUGCAAUUGUUAACGUUCUUUGAAUUGGGAAAGUUCCUUCUGUGCAGAUUUCAGCCAACUGAUGUCUUUUGGUUCCUCACAAGUUGAAGAGCAGCAUUUCUGUGAGUGAGGUUUCUAAAAAUCCCAUCUGUCUCAGCAUUGAGCAGCAGGCAGGCAGCUCCGUGCUCCUGGUGUAGCUGGAUGGUGUGGAGUACAGGGGAUUCUCACCUUGCUGUGCCUUCGGGUGGCCCCACAAAGCCGUGGGCAGGACUGAGGACAGCAUAGUUCUGGCAGCACCUCACACCUGUGCUGGCGUUUGAGCCAAACAGUGCAGCUCCAGGCCUGAGGGUCCUGAUUGCAACAGAAUGGUUCCCAUUCAGAUCAACUUCUCAAAGGUUUCAGAUGUUAAAAUAUCUAAAGUCUAUUUCAAAAUUAAAAAAAAAAAACUAUAGUCAAAACACUGAGUUGUGAAAGCACAAAGAUGAGGGUCCUCAUUCUCCAGGUACCUCUUCUGCACAUUCAAUUUACAAGUCCAUAGCAGUCGCUGCUUUUUCUCUCUCUCUGUAGGGCUCCCCUCCCAGUCCUCUCCUUGUGUUUGCAGCUGUUUGCUCAGUCCCACAGAGCACUGCUGCCAGCGAUGGACCUGGGCUGGGCUGUGCAUGGCUUGGAGCUCCUGCUGCUGAGAGCAGAGACGUGCUUGCUCGCUUACUGUUACACCACUCCUCUCCCCAAACAGUAAAACUCAGUUUGAAAGUAAGCUGUAUGUUUUAUCUUCAGAGGGAAACUGUAAAAAGAGACACCAGUGGGUUUUAUUGGACUCAGCUUGUACUGUUUUUCACAAUCCUUUGAAAUCUGUAGCAUUUUUUCUAGCUUUGUGUCCAAACCUGGACUUUGCAUUUAGUGGUGACCCAUCCUGCAGCUGCAAAAGGAAUGUGUUUAUUGCUCUGUAGCAAAGAGCAAAAUAGCUAGAUGCUCAUAUUUGAAUAAAAGCAUUCCGCUCCUCUUAGAAAUAGAGCUGUGCUUUGGAUUUCCAGCUCCUUCCAGAGUUGGAAAUACCAGUGUUGGAGCACACUGCUGUAAGGAAGGGAAUUGCCUUCAGCUCUGCAGAAUGAGCUCUCCAACUUGCCUGGCCAGAUGGUGAAAAUCAAACAGGAAAAAUCACAUGGCAAAGGGUGUUAACAAAAAAAAAAUCCACUGUUUUUUAGUUAGGGGUGAGUACAGGUAACAAGUGGUGUGUAGGGAAGUGUUUAAACUGCGUGAGAGAUCAAGGGUCCUAAUUCUAAGUGUGGGAGCAAUAUUAGUAAAGCAAUGCAGCGUAUCCUGUUGUGGGAUGAGAGGUGCAGAUUUAGGUUAUUUUGGACUGGGAGAGGCAUUUGGUGAAGGAAGGCUACGUUCACCUCUUGCAGACCGUGUGCUUAGGAACCCCGCCGGUCUGCAGCUCGCUCUGAGGCUGGUCACAUUUUUUCAAAGAAGGCUGAAUUAAUUCAGAAACACAAAGAGAAUGGAAGUGGCUACAAAUGUGCCGCCUGUGCAUUUAGCACUGCCUCCAGCAUUUGGGUGUUAAUUCUUCUUUCCUCCACCCCCUCUGGCAGCUCAAGCUGUUGAAGUUUUAUUAAUAGUGAAAAAGCUUGGUUAAUUCUUUCAGCCUAACAGCUUCACAAAUUCUAAUCUGCUUUUUUUUUUUUUUUCCCCAGGCACAAUCAUUUUUUAAGUGCAGUGUAUGGGUUUAUGCUCACUUCCCCACCCGUUUCACAGCUUCUGAUCUCUAAAUGCUGGGAUUUUGAUAUUAAAUGUUAUUACCAGCCCUUGUUUUUACGGAUUUUUAGAAAGCUUCCAAAUGUUUGCUGCUCUGAUGUUUGCUGCAUUCAGAUCUACAGCCUCCUAGCUGCCUGCCACAAACUGCAUGCUUGCAAAUGGUAAUUAGAUGCACUAUUUUAUGAGCGACAUGAAUUCAAAUGAAUGUGCUUACACCAGCCCCCGAGCCACAGAGCAGCCCAGGGAUGCUGAUAGCAGUGAUCAAUCACAGCUGGGCUACAAGCCAGCAGCAGCUCAAGGCCCAGGUUCCCUGCACAGCUCCUGGCUCUGCAGAGCCCCCGGGAUUUUGAUCUGGGGUUGGAAUUCCUGUGCAGAAUGUGAAGAAAUUGCUCAUCUGGGGCCCUUUGGGUUCUUAUGUUCCCAAGUAAAACACUGUCCAAAUAUGGAGGUUUUAAAAACAGAUUUAACCAGGGAAGAGAUCUUCUGUUUUUCCUUUGUUUUUCCUUUAUUUUCCCUAAUCUGUCUCACAAACAAGAAGUUUGAGAUCGCGGACCUUAGGAAGAUGUGCUCAGUUCUGACAUCUCAGCAUGCUGUUCUUCCCCAGCUGGUUCUUUCAUCAGACUUUACUUCUGAAUGCUUUUCCCCUUUAAUUCUAGUGAGAUGUCUCAUGCAUGUACGUUAUAAUCUUCAGCAUUAAUUAAUUUGGGAAACUGUAAAAUAGCAGAAGCAUAGAAGGCAAUAGGAAGGAAAGUAAUAAAAACUGAUUGAUGACUAAAGCCAAGGAAACAGAACUGCAGCCUCCCUGCAGACAUGGCUAUUAAUGAGACUUCCUUCAUUUCUGCCUGAGUGGGGGUCAUUUCUCACACCCCACUGAUCGCUGGGAGUUUCUGUGCCUGGUCCCAGUUAGAGUCACAGGCAGAUACUGGUAAAUAUAGCACAAUAUUGUUAGAAGCAGGAAUUUCUGACAGGACGUAUGGAUGUGACCCACCAGAGAUCUUAAUGGUGUGUUCCUGGGGUGACCAAAGAAGGGAGGCAGCUUUGCUUUUGGCUGUUCAUGCAAACUGUAGCUCUGAGAUUGUGUUGCAUGGGUAGGAAAAACAAGGGAACGUUUUCCCAGUCCAGCAUAGUGGGGAAUGUUAAAUACACAGAACUGUGUGAGGGGAAGGUAACGAAGUAGGGAGGUCCUCUCUGCUCAAAGCAAUUGGACCAACAGUGUCUGUGAGGA